AGGAUGCGGGGUGUCCUUGCAGCUAGAGCGCAGGGUGCCUGGGGAGUUCAGAUUAGCUGCGGAGCAGGGGGGUGCCUCUUCCCAGGUUUUCUCUGGGAGGUGAAGAGAGAGGAGUCAGACUAAUCGACAGCAACUGAGAGCAGGACAAAGCAGUGCUAUUUCCCAUGACAGAAACCGGGCUGGGGAGGCAGCUAUCAGCGGGCAAGGGCCAGCAGCCCAGAGGAGCAGCCUCAGGACUCACCCACCACCACCCCCCCAGUCCACCACUGGCCCACCAUGGCCUCCAGCAAAGACUGGAAGAGCAAGUAUGCCUCCAGCCAAGACUGGAAGAGCCAGUAUUGGUAGGACAGGACUGCCCCGCUGAACACUUCAUUUUGCACCCUGUGAUUUAACCCCCUCUCUCCCAGUGCUGCACCUGCACAAUACAAGCAUGCUGGCUUGCUUAUGAUCGUCGGUUUGGCUGGCCAAAUUUCUCCCCAGAUUGAUGGACGGUUCACAGCACUAUCUAUUAAGGACACAACUUACACCAAGAUGCUGCAGCUCUGAGCAAAGCUGUUAUUAGCUGCAGGACUGCAGCACUAUACUUUGGUAAAACGCCUCUCUCAGGAAGCCAGAGGAGAAUGUGGCAGUGCCUGGGUCUCGGCUUGUUGGAGAAACUCCUGGGCACAGGACAAGAAAGCAAGAAACCUAAAUUGUUUAGGGUGCAGUUAUAAUCUGUGUACAAAAGAGAACUCCCUUUGGCUCCUCAAGCUUUGACCCCACCUCAAGUUUUGGCUGGCCACCAUCAUGCCCUGCUUCAGGAGGGAAUGUAUCAGCUGAGAGGAAUGCAGACGAGAGGUGAAUUGAUUGGAGAUUGUUAGAAGAUGAAGGAACAGCAGAAGGAAAACGUGGAAGGUGAAGAAAAUAAAUAUCAGGGGGAAUGUUCUCUGAUAUUACCUCUUUUUCACUUCCUUUCUUACACUUUGCUGUUCUCCAUGUCUCUGGUUGUUAGAGAUUAGGGGAAGAAAUGCCGGUCUGUGGCAACACUAGUGUAAUCCUGCGGAUGACCUGCAAGUGUUACUGAUGGAGUACUUUCCUGAAACACAUCUGGAUGUUUUAUAUCAGAAAUUAUGGACACAACAAGCGCUGCUAAAAAGGAAGGGCAGAUGGCAGCAGUUUUCCGAUUUGAAAAUAAAAAAUAAAGUUUUGUUACCCU
Molecule: long non-coding RNA, 1195 nt
Organism: Grus americana (Whooping crane)
Lineage: Eukaryota; Metazoa; Chordata; Aves; Gruiformes; Gruidae
Exons: 2
Source: RefSeq, a predicted model, not a curated record